AAACUUUGAAAAGAUAUAGGCUUCAUGGAGUUGGGUAAACAGGGCUUCAGGUUUGAAUAAAGGAAACUUGUCAUCUUGGAGGAAAUGGUUAAGAGGCUUAUAGUCAAUUACGAGCCUCUUUUUGCCGCUCAGCUUUUCAAAUCUUUUUUCCACGUAAAAGGCUUGGCAAGCCAUGGAGAGGAUGUGGGCUUUAUGAGGCCUUGUUGAAGUAACUG
This 215-nucleotide unclassified non-coding RNA is filed under the name Hevea brasiliensis (rubber tree). Lineage: Eukaryota; Viridiplantae; Streptophyta; Magnoliopsida; Malpighiales; Euphorbiaceae. The record is from RNAcentral.